UGUGAAGGGUUUUGAGCAUUCUAACACUUCCUAAGUGUACAUGCAACCCUAAUAACCUUGGAUCUAUGUUUGUCUAAUUAUCAUGCAAAGUUGAAUUCCAAGGUUAUAUUCCUAUCUAGCAUACAUGGGGAACAAUUUUAACUUGAAUCAUAGAUAGAAUAACUUACCUUGUUGUUGCUUGUGUUCCUUGAAACCUUGUGAGCCUAGCACCCCAAGUGUGAUGCCUCAAAUGCUUCACACAACACCAAAUGCUCUUGGAAAGACUCUUGAGAUAACACACACUUCUCAAAAUCGGCCAAGCCCUCUAGUUUCUUAGUGUUCAACUUGUGUAGCCAAUUUUGUGGAGAAUGGGACUCUUAUAUAGUGUUGACACAUCUAGGGUUACACCAUGUAAACCCUAAUGUGUCAUGACUCUUCAUUUCCAUGACCCAUGGGUUUGUAACUCCCAUGGAGCAUCCAUGGAGCAUCCUAUGGGUAGAACCCAACUUGAUAAUCCAUGGAGCCUCUUAGCCCACUAUACAAGAUAUAGAUGAUUUACAUAAUCAACCCAUAUAUUUAAUUAGUUAUCCUUUGAUCACUUAAUUAAUUCCAAAUUAAUUCUUUGAUCAAACUAAUCAAAUAAUAUUAUUAAUAUAUUAGAACUUAUAAUAUAUUAAUAAUCUCCAAGUGUUAUUUCUCUCAUUUAGUCUAUCCAAUUGCAUGGUGCCAUGCAACCCAAAUGGACCAUGCCGGGUCGGGUCAAGUACAAGCCCGAAAUAGUUAUGGACUUAGACACCUUAUCCAACAGUCUCCCACUUGGAUAAGUCUAAUAACUAUAUCUCUAGUACUUCAGGAACCGACCGGCAAUCGUAGCUCUUUCAAGGUCUCUCGGAACUGAGAAGAUGAUGGUACGCCAUUUAAGAUAAGUGAUCAUAUAAUCCUCCGUUCUAGAUAUCAGCCGGACAAAUACAUGGAACAUUGUCUUGCUUAUUGUCCAGCAUUUGUUUCCCGAUUUCCGAUUUGUUUGACAUAGAACUUAAUUGAACACAUCAACUUAGUUCUGACCGGGCCCGGUACAUGGGUCAAAACAAAAUCAUCGAGGGGCCCAGAUAUCAGCUUCUAAUCCAAGAAGGAACAGAUAAACUUCGACUCAUAUGUUUGUUCUACCACUCAUUGAAUUACACACAAAAGUACGUUUUAUAACAUCGAGUUACCAAUGCGGUUUCGUACAGUCAAUGCAUAACCAACUUGUAAGUAACAAAUCAUAUCUCUAGGUUUGAAGACUUAUAUGAUAUUACCGUCUCACGAUCACUCGAGAUAGAAUUCCAUGAAGUGAUUCCAGUGAGCGUGGGUUGAGUCCAAUGCUCAGAACUUAUGAGCACUCAUGAUUGUUGUAGCCUUGUCCAACACCUUAGACCUCUACAACCCAUCAUGACAGUCUUGAUUCAUACCUACUUCCGACAUAUGACCGACUGUGGAGGUUUGAAUAAUAUGUUACACCAAACAAAAUUAUUCUGGAAGUCAAAACAUGCAAAAGAAAUAUAGUAAACGAUUGACAAGAGAUAGCAACACUUUACUCAUAAAUAAAACACCUUUUAUUCAUCAUCAAAUGUCAAUUACACUUUACAAAUUUCUGGGUUAUCUAACUACUAAAACUUAUAUCAUCCUUCAGCCCUAUGCUCCGAGCAUGCUGGAGAUGCUUAACCCUACUCAGUCCCUUCGUGAGGGGAUCUGCUGGGUUCUCAUCCGAUGAUACCCUCUUUGCCACGAGGAGUCCUUCUUCGAUCCGAUGUCUAAUGAAAUGGUAUUUUCUGUCGAUGUGUCUGGAUCUCCCAUGAUCCCUUGGUUCCUUGGCUAAGGCAACAGCACUUUCACUAUCACAGAAAAUUUCCAUUGGCUCUUUAAUAGCUGGUACAACUCCAAGGUCUCCAAUGAAGUUCUUCAGCCAUAUCGCCUCCUUUGCUGCUUCGCUAGCUGCAAUAUACUCUGAUUCACAAGUAGAAUCUGCCACUGUCUCUUGCUUGGAACUCUUCCAAGAAAUUGCUCCUCCGUUUAGGGUAAAGACCCAGCCCGACUGAGAGCGGAAAUUAUCCCUAUCAGUCUGGAAGCUAGCAUCACUAUACCCUACAACUCUCAAGUCAUCACUCCCACCGAGGGUAAGGACCCAGUCCUUAGUCCUCCGUAGGUACUUGAGGAUAUUCUUUACCGCAGUCCAGUGUGCCUUGCCAGGGUUCGCCUGAUACCUGCUAACCAUGCUCAAGGCAAAAGCUACAUCGGGUCGAGUACACGUCAUAGCAUACAUGAUCGAUCCUACAGCCGAAGCGUAAGGUGUUCGACUCAUUUCUGCUAUCUCAGCCUCAGUGCUAGGGCUUUGUGUCUUACUCAAUCUGGUGUUACUCUGGAUGGGUAACUCUCCUUUCUUGGAAUCCUGCAUGCUGAAUCUCUUCAGCACCUUAUCCAAGUAGGUACUCUGACUAAGUCCAAUUAGUCUUUUACUCCGAUCUCUCAAGAUUCUUAUCCCUAGAAUAUAGGCAGCUUCACCAAGGUCCUUCAUAGCGAAACACUUCCCAAGCCAGGACUUUACUUCCUGCAGGGUUGGAAUGUCGUUUCCUAUGAGUAGUAUGUCAUCCACAUACAAUACCAAAAAGCUAACUAUACUCCCACUAGCCUUGACAUACACACAAGAUUCAUCUUCACUCCUAGAAAAGCCAAAUUCCUUGACCUUUUCAUCAAAGCAAAGAUUCCAUCUGCGAGGUGCUUGCUUCAAUCCAUAAAUGGAUUUCUCAAGCUUACACACUCUAUUAGGGUACUCGUUGCUGACAAAACCCUCUGGCUGACUCAUGUAAACAUCUUCAGCCAACUUUCCAUUAAGGAAAGCGGUUUUGACAUCCAUCUGCCAUAUUUCAUAGUCAUGAAAUGCAGCUAUGGCUAACAGAACCCGAAUAGACUUAAUCUUGGCUACCGGAGAAAAGGUCUCAUCAUAAUCCACUCCAGGAAUUUGAGAGAAGCCCUUUGCAACCAGUCUAGCCUUAUAAGUGUGUACUUUACCAUCCAUGUCGGUCUUCUUCUUGAAGACCCAUUUGCACCCUACUGUCUUACGACCUGGUACAUUUUCAACCAAGUUCCAAACUUGAUUGUCAUACAUGGAUUGUAUCUCGCUAUCCAUAGCCUCUUUCCAUUUAGCAGACUCGGGGCCUGCCAUGGCUUCCUCGUAGCUGUUAGGGUCAUCUUGACUUACUAGUGUCUCAUCACUAAUAAGUGUCUCACCUUCUGCAGUAAUAUGGAAUCCAUAGUAAUGCUCAGGUGCACUCCUAACUCUCGUGGAACGUCUCAGAGGUACAGAUUUGUCAAUUGGCUCAACAGGAGUUUCCUCCUCAAGUUGAGGGCUAGAGUUUGAAGUUCCUUCACCGCUUGAUUCUUGAAUUUCUUCAAGAUCAAUUUGCCUCCCACUGUCUCCUUGGCUUAUAAACUCUCUUUCUCGAAAGACUCCUCUUCUUGCUACAAAGACCACAUUGUCACUAGGUCUGUAGAAGAGGUAACCAAAGGAUCGCUGUGGGUAACCGAUGAAAAUACACCUCUCGCUUCGAGGUUCGAGCUUAUCAUGAGUCUCGCGUCUCACGAAAGCCUCGCAACCCCAAAUCUUGAUGUGGUCUAGUUUAGGUACUUUACCAGUCCACAUCUCGUGAGGAGUUUUGGCAACUUUCUUUGUAGGGACUAGAUUAAGAAUAUGGGCGGCAGUCUCUAAGGCAUACCCCCAGAAUGAGAUUGGUAGCGUAGCUCGACUCAUCAUGGAACGAACCAUAUCUAACAAGGUUCGAUUACGCCUCUCAGCCACACCAUUCAACUGUGGUGUCCUGGGAGGUGUCAAUUGUGAGACUAUCCCACAUUCCCUUAGAUAGUCGAGGAACUCUGAACUAAGAUACUCACCACCACGAUCGGAUCGAAGCAUCUUAAUGUUCCUGCCCAAUUGAUUCUCGACUUCCUGUUUAAAUUCCUUAAACCUCUCGAAAGUCUCUGACUUAUGCUUGAUCAAGUAGACAUAUCCAUAUCUACUAUAAUCAUCAGUAAAAGUCAAAUAAUAACGAUUAGCAUCCCUUGUGGCAUGUUUGAAUGGUCCACACACAUCCGUGUGUAUAAGGUCCAACAAACCUUCACCCCUCUCACACGAACCUGUGAAGGGUGACUUUGUCAUUUUUCCAAGUAAGCAUGAUUCGCAACUAUCAUCUGACUUUAGGUCAAACGACUCCAAGACUCCAUCCUUUUGGAGUUGGCCUAUGCGUUUCUUGCUUAUAUGUCCAAGACGACAAUGCCAUAAAGAUGCUUUAUCCAAGUUAUUAUUAGUAGAAUCAAUACACAAAACAUUAUUUCCCAAGUUAUCUACAACAGAUACAGCUUCAUACACACCAUCACAAGGUAAUGCUUUAAAAUAAAAGACAUUAUUAUAGAAAACAUCUAUAGAACCAACUUCAUUAUUAAAUGAAAAGGUAAACCCUUGUUUGUACAAAGCAUGAAAGGAAAUAAUAUUUCUUGCCAUUCCUGGCGAAUAACAACACUUAUUCAAAUCUAAACUAAACCCACUACUUAGCGAUAAAGUAUAAACUCCAAUCUUGGUAACAGGUAUAGCUUUCCUAUUCCCCAUGAUCAAGUUUAUCCUUCCUUGCUCCACAUCCUCACUUCUUCUUAGUCCCUGCAAGUCACAACAAAUGUGAAUACCACACCCGGUAUCAAGGACCCAAGAAUUAGAAUGGGGUGAGUUAUUAGAAAUGAUAGUGUAAAUACCUGCAUGGUUGGGUUUAACUUUCCCAUCCUUCACAUCUUGCUGGUAUUUUGGGCAGUUCCGCUUCCAAUGAGCUUUUUCAUGGCAAUAGAAGCAUUCAGCCUCUUUUGGGUCAGAAGAAGGAGUAAUGAAACCUUUCUUGGUUCCACUUGAAGAAGAGCCAUCAAGGGUCCGAACCUUGGUACCCUUAGAAGAGCUCUUUCUCUUCCUCCCUCGACUUUUCCCGAUUGCCAAAACCGGAGUAGAGUUUUGAGUAGGAGUGAUAGCAACCGACUUCCCCUUAAGACCUGAUUCUGCGGUCUUGAGAAGUCCCUGAAGUUUGCUGAGGGUGACUUCUUCCUUGUUCAUGUGAUAUGUCAUGCGGAAUUGAUCAUAGCACGAUGGUAAGGAAUGCAAAAUAAUAUCUAUUGCAAGAUCCUCCGGGAAGUUCACAUUAAGCUUCAGCAAACGAUCCACAUACCUUUGCAUUUUCUGCAUGUGGCUCGUGACGGAUUCCCCGUCCUUCAUCAUGGUUGUUAUCAUGGAGCAGAUGAUUUCAUACCUCUCUUGUCUUGCACUUUGAUGGUAUCUUUCCAUCAAAUCUUGGUGCAUUUCAUAAGGGUAGAAAUCCUCAUAAGACUUUUGGAGUUCCGCUGUCAUCGUGGCCAUCAUGAUGCAAGCCACUUUCGUAGCAUCCCUUUCAUGUGCCCGAAAUUCAGCGAUCUCCUGAGGAGUUGCAGUGGACUCAUCAAUCUCCUUAAGCUCCUUGUCAAGGACAUAUUCUUUGUCCUCGUAGCGGGUAAUCAUCCUGAUGUUUCUGAUCCACUCAUUGAAGUUGGAUCCAUCAAAGGUGACUUUCCCACACAAGUUCAUAAGGGUAAAGGAGCCAUUAGGAUUAGAGCCAGAAGCAUUGUUGAAAGACAUCUGAAGGAAAGAGGACAAGAUUAGUUUAGAUAUAAGAGAGUCCUUAAUAAAACACCCAAAUGUAAUAUUAAGGCUAGGAUCCAAUCACAAUAUAAUAUAACUUAGAAGAGGUAUGCCGUAAUCUAAGCUAUAUCAUAUUUGAAAGGUAGGUGAAUGACGAUUCACCAAUUUCCACCACGAAAACCGCAAUAUUUUAGUAUUAGGUUUUUGAAUGGUUCUUAGAAAUUCCUAGAUUCUUUGAGAUUCAAUGAACUUUUCAAAGGCAUGUUUCAAUCUCGAGUGUGCCCUCCAAGUUUUGUGACUGGGAUACCGAGGAUCACAAAACGAGGUGUGAAGUAACCAUGCAAAUCACUUGGUACCCUUAAAGUUUAUCACUCAAUCGAUGUGCCGGUUAACCACACACGCUCCAUCGAUACUAUAAUAAACCCUAAGUCACCCUUUACCUACCUUGUUAAGUCCAAGUUAGUGUGCCGGUUAACCACACACGCUCCACCAACGACUUAAUCAAAGUGUAAAGUGUAAUUUCAUGGAAUAGCACCUUAUUCACAUUUUUCCUAAAGUAACUAAGAUUGGGAAUUUAAUAAAACAUUUAGUUACUUUAUAAUAUUCAUCAUACUUUGAAUGAGAAUUAAUAAGUCCUUGUCUUACCCGUUCGGCUAACGACCCUCCACCGAUCAAGCAAGCGGUGGGUGAGAGUGGACACCCAUUAAGUCACCAUUUUAUAGGCAACAACCUUAUACCCACCUUAUAGACCGGCUUCGUGAAUGAGGCGUACUAGCGGUAAGACGACUUUGUUCUUAUACAUAUAUAUAUAAUUAUUAAAUCAUAAUAAUAUAAGUAUAAGGGUUGAAUUUUAACUUUUAAAAUUCUAGGGGUUGGAACUAAAGUUUUAACUUAACUUUACUUGUUCCAAAACUUGAGGGCAAGUUUUGUAAACUUUCAAAACUUUUCAUUUCUUGUAACUUAUGAGUUUAAUAGAGUAAUAAAAUGAGGACUUUUCAUUUUUCCUAACUCUUGUGUUCUUUUAAUGGUUUUUAAUCCAAGAGACUUUUGGUUUUCCAUAACUUGAGGACAAGUUAUGGACUCCAUUAAAACACAUUAUGAUCAUGAAUUAAUCUACCACAUAGGUUACAAAUAAUUCCUAUGAUCAUCUAAACAUCAUAAGAACAAGAAUAUGAAUAUGAACACUUUCAAGAAUCAAAAUCACAUUUAAUCUUUGUAAUUUUGAUAACUAGUUGUUGUAAAUGAGUUAGAAAAGACAUUACACCUUCUAAAAUAAGUUUUCAAGUACCAAAACAUUUUAGGGUAAUGAUUCUAAUCCAUUUCCAGCAACUCAAGUCGAAAUUCUGCACUCUGUCGACCCUACUCGCCGAGUGCAUAAACCUACUCGCCGAGUAGGUUGAAGAUACACAUGAACUCGACGAGUCCUCCCCAUGGACUCGCCGAGUCCAUCAGUCAGACAGCAAGAUUUUCGACUUUCUUCAACUUUUAAGCACAAAUAACAAACAAACAAGCCUAGGCUCUGAUACCACUGAUGGGUUUUGAGCAUUCUAACACUUCCUAAGUGUACAUGCAACCCUAAUAACCUUGGAUCUAUGUUUGUCUAAUUAUCAUGCAAAGUUGAAUUCCAAGGUUAUAUUCCUAUCUAGCAUACAUGGGGAACAAUUUUAACUUGAAUCAUAGAUAGAAUAACUUACCUUGUUGUUGCUUGUGUUCCUUGAAACCUUGUGAGCCUAGCACCCUAAGUGUGAUGCCUCAAAUGCUUCACACAACACCAAAUGCUCUUGGAAAGACUCUUGAGAUAACACACACUUCUCAAAAUCGGCCAAGCCCUCUAGUUUCUUAGUGUUCAACUUGUGUAGCCA
Molecule: long non-coding RNA, 7524 nt
Filed under: Lactuca sativa (garden lettuce)
Lineage: Eukaryota; Viridiplantae; Streptophyta; Magnoliopsida; Asterales; Asteraceae
Description: long non-coding RNA (LSAT_LNC000475)
Source: RNAcentral